AUUGAACGCUGGCGGCAUGCCUAACACAUGCAAGUCGCACGCGAAAGGGGCAACCCCGAGUAGAGUGGCGGACGGGUGAGUAACGCGUAGGAAUCUACCUGGUAGUGGGGGACAACCCGGCGAAAGCCGGGCUAAUACCGCAUACGAUCCACGGAUGAAAGCAGGGGACCGCAAGGCCUUGCGCUAUCAGAUGAGCCUGCGUCGGAUUAGCUAGUUGGUGAGGUAAUGGCUCACCAAGGCGACGAUCCGUAGCUGGUUUGAGAGAACGACCAGCCACACUGGGGACUGAGACACGGCCCAGACUCCUACGGGAGGCAGCGGUGGGGAAUAUUGGACAAUGGUGGCAACCCUGAUCCAGCAAUGCCGCGUGUGUGAAGAAGGCCUCGGGUUGUAAAGCACUUUUCGGUGGGGACAAACAAGACGGAGCUAACAUCUCCGUUCCUGAUGGUACCCAAAGAAGAGCACCGGCUAACUCUGUGCCAGCAGCCGCGGUAAU
RNAcentral lists this ribosomal RNA (496 nucleotides) under uncultured bacterium. RNAcentral describes it as "bacterial SSU rRNA". It matches the Rfam family "Bacterial small subunit ribosomal RNA", at positions 29 to 524 of the family's 1533-position model. The record is from RNAcentral.